RNAcentral lists this long non-coding RNA (352 nucleotides) under Equus caballus (horse). RNAcentral describes it as "lncRNA (ENSECAG00000060079.1)". The record is from RNAcentral. Lineage: Eukaryota; Metazoa; Chordata; Mammalia; Perissodactyla; Equidae.
UUGGGAUCCCGGGUGCGGACAUGGCACGGCUCAUCAAGCCAUCCUGUGACUCUUCAAGGUGUGAAAAUUAAUAAAGGGAAACCUUACACAAAAUGGAGUGGGGAGGCCAGAAGGGGGAGCCCUCAGCACUACCGCUCUGCGUCAAUUCCAGGAAAGAUCGUCCGUCACAGGCCCCGGAAGAGACGUCCACUGCCUUCCAGACAAGAAAGACCACUCCAGCAACCCAGCCAACGAGAAACAGUCACCACCCUGAACAAGACCUUGUUUUCCACCAAUGGGCUUCUGUUCAAAACAACCCUCCCAACUUCCUCCUUUUUCUCUAUAAAAUAAAGUCCCUCUCCUUUGUGUGCUA